GACGAACGCUGGCGGCGUGCCUAAUACAUGCAAGUCGAACGCACUCUCGUUUAGAUUGAAGGAGUUUGCUCCUGAUUGAUAAACAUUUGAGUGAGUGGCGGACGGGUGAGUAACACGUGGGUAACCUGCCCUAAAGUGGGGGAUAACAUUUGGAAACAGAUGCUAAUACCGCAUAAAACCUAACACCGCAUGGUGUAGGGUUGAAAGAUGGUUUCGGCUAUCACUUUAGGAUGGACCCGCGGUGCAUUAGUUAGUUGGUGAGGUAAAGGCUCACCAAGACCGUGAUGCAUAGCCGACCUGAGAGGGUAAUCGGCCACACUGGGACUGAGACACGGCCCAGACUCCUACGGGAGGCAGCAGUAGGGAAUCUUACACAAUGGACGAAAGUCUGAUGGAGCAACGCCGCGUGAGUGAAGAAGGUUUUCGGAUCGUAAAACUCUGUUGUUGGAGAAGAAUGUAUCUGAUAGUAACUGAUCAGGUAGUGACGGUAUCCAACCAGAAAGCCACGGCUAACUACGUG
This 520-nucleotide ribosomal RNA is filed under the name uncultured bacterium. RNAcentral describes it as "partial 16S ribosomal RNA". It matches the Rfam family "Bacterial small subunit ribosomal RNA", at positions 28 to 507 of the family's 1533-position model. The record is from RNAcentral.